RNAcentral lists this long non-coding RNA (736 nucleotides) under Hordeum vulgare. RNAcentral describes it as "long non-coding RNA (HVUL_LNC000210)". Lineage: Eukaryota; Viridiplantae; Streptophyta; Magnoliopsida; Poales; Poaceae. The record is from RNAcentral.
CAUCACCUGCAUUUUCAAUUAACAGAGCAACCUGCACGACUUACCCAUGCAGUAUACACAGCAUACAUUAUCUUUUCUGGUUGAGUUCAAACACUUGCCAAUCUAUACCAGGAGUAUCUUUCUAUUGCUUAAAAGCUAGCCAGAAAAACAACACACAUAGCAGAGAAAAAUAUUCUUUUAUUUUUGCGAGAAGUUUGAGGAAAAAAUCAUUACAUGGUUUUAGAAUUUACAAAAUUGGUAAGAAUCGUGCUGGCAAUACAGCCACCAUAGCAGUUCGAUGAAUCUUCACAAAUUCAGUUAUAUCCGAAGAGUCCCUAGUUUCCAGAUCACAAUUACGAAGUCGAGAUCUAUUGUGCAUUGCAUUCUUCAAAGUAGAAAUAACAGCCAAUAAUGAUGGGAGGAUCACAACUAUUGUGAGUGCUUUUAGGUCUUGAAGUCAGGCAAUAAUUUUAAGUUCUUCAGCCUCAAGUCACAACAUCAGAGAAGAACAUACAGAUAAUAUGAUAGACCCAUCCAGAUUACAACAGCCGCACCAGUGCUACCUUUCUCAGUAUUAUCAUCAUGACCUGCAUACAAUACAAUUUAUUUUCUGCAUAUAUGCACCAGAGUAUGAAAUAGCUAUAUAUAAAUCAAUUCGAUAGGUUAACUCACAAGAAUUGAUAGAAUUCUUUGGAAAAUAUUGCGGGAUGUUCUAGUGAGCAACAAAUGCAGUAAACUCUUUUAAAACAAAUAGCGA